RNAcentral lists this small nuclear RNA (161 nucleotides) under Triticum aestivum (bread wheat). RNAcentral's name for it is "snRNA U1". It matches the Rfam family "U1 spliceosomal RNA". Rfam says of the family: U1 is a small nuclear RNA (snRNA) component of the spliceosome (involved in pre-mRNA splicing). Its 5' end forms complementary base pairs with the 5' splice junction, thus defining the 5' donor site of an intron. Lineage: Eukaryota; Viridiplantae; Streptophyta; Magnoliopsida; Poales; Poaceae. The record is from RNAcentral.
ACACUUACUUGGACGGGGUCUAUGGCUGAUCAUGAAGAGUCAUGAACCAGGCUAGUGGCCCAAAUUGCACUUUGUGGGUGUGCUGGCCUAUCAUCUUUCCUUUGAGGGAGAGUGGACAUCAUAAUUUGUUAUAGAGGGGUACGCGUUCACGUGGCCCCUGU